Molecule: small RNA, 28 nt
Filed under: Bombyx mori (domestic silkworm)
Lineage: Eukaryota; Metazoa; Arthropoda; Insecta; Lepidoptera; Bombycidae
Description: ovarian small RNA-11592
Source: RNAcentral
ACGGUGACUCGCUCGCUUCUGAGCUAAG